AUUGAACGCUGGCGGCAGGCCUAACACAUGCAAGUCGAACGAGUGGCGGACGGGUGAGUUAUGACUGGGAAACUGCGUGAUGGAGGGGGAUAACUACUGGAAACGGUAGCUAAUACCGCAUACCAUCAGAUGUGCCCAGAUGGGUUUAGCGUGUUGGUGGGGUAACCGCUCACCAAGGCGACGAUCCCUAGCUGGUCUGAGAGGAUGACCAGCCACACUGGAACUGAGACACGGUCCAGACUCCUACGGGAGGCAGCAGUGGGGAAUAUUGCACAAUGGGCGCAAGCCUGAUUCAGCCAUGCCGCGUGUAUGAAGAAGGCCUUCGGAUUGUAAAGUACUUUCAGUGGGGAGGCGGUACUCACAGAAGAAGCACCGGCUAACUCCGUGCCAGCAGCCGCGGUAAUUC
RNAcentral lists this ribosomal RNA (406 nucleotides) under uncultured bacterium. RNAcentral's name for it is "partial 16S ribosomal RNA". It matches the Rfam family "Bacterial small subunit ribosomal RNA", at positions 30 to 526 of the family's 1533-position model. The record is from RNAcentral.